This 223-nucleotide long non-coding RNA is filed under the name Homo sapiens (human). Its description in RNAcentral is "LNC_000062". The record is from RNAcentral. Lineage: Eukaryota; Metazoa; Chordata; Mammalia; Primates; Hominidae.
UCCCCUUCCAGGCCAGCAUCCUCCUUGGCCGUGGCCACCGGCUCCAAUUUCUUGCAGAACACACAGCCCAUUCCAGGUUCCCUGCCCUUAGGCCCCUACUCCUGGGUCAGUGGGGCUGCGGCAUGAUCCUUGGGAGGGGUCAGAGACCUCCGGAGCUCUCCUCCUAUCCCCAUACCAGAGAAAGGACCAGGUCAGAAGCUGGGGCUACCAGAGUACCUUGGGA